GAUAAAUUUCUCUCGUGCAAAAAUGUAACCUACGUUUGCAACAUUCGUAACAAAUGUCUUCCAAACCACAAUUUUCCGAUCGCGCGUGCCGAAACGUUGCGCAAAUAAUUUCGGCCAGUGCGAUGAAAUGAUAGAUUUGACUUUUGUAAAAUUUCUCGUCUGUCUGAAAGAACUGAUUGUUCUUAUUAUAGCGCAACUCCUUGAAACGACUGUGAAAUGCGUGCUGCCGGCGGUAAUCGCGCAACUAACGGGACCGAGAUAUUUACGAUGGACGCGAAAUGUUCUUUAGUCUCGCUAUCUUAUUUUGUGCGAAAUUCUCUAUAUGCAUGGCAUGAAUAAGGACAAAAAUGAAGAAACGUUAACUCCGACACUUUCGUUAUCAUUGUCGUGUAUAUUUAACGAUUCCCGUUUUUGCCCGCAUUCAUCUUGUGUGUUAUACGCGUGAACAUAUAUUACACCAUAUUAAUGUAACCAUUAAGAAAAUUAUGGAUCCAAUAGAUCAAGUUAUCGCUGAUAGCAGUUAAUGUUUGCGUUUUAUUUUUACUUACUCGGCACGAUAUUUCUGCUGCUGGACUCGUAUGCCGAAGCAACGAAAUUGCCUCCUGAGAGAUAUACGUAUAGCGUUUGCCAUUACCAUCAAGUGUAUUUACCGGAGGAAGCGAUGGCAUUGCAGACACGCGACAGAGGAAUGUUCUAUCUCUUGGAAGGCGUCGCAACACAUCGCCGGAAGAACGUGAUUCAUUUCAUAGUUGACAAAUAACUCGGCAAUAGUAAUAGAAAAACUAAAAGCUCCUAAAUAAACAAAUAAGAAGAAUAGCCUACAACGGUCAAACCUGGAUCAUAGUGCUUAUUAUAUAGUUAUGUGUGAUUUUUAUAUACUGCGUAUGUAGUGCCCCCCAAUAAUCGCGCGCUGAUAUACUAUUCAGAUAUAACGCAAACAUACUUAUCUCAGUAUUAUCACGAAUUAAAAUUGAAUAACAAUUUUAA
Molecule: long non-coding RNA, 987 nt
Organism: Cyphomyrmex costatus
Lineage: Eukaryota; Metazoa; Arthropoda; Insecta; Hymenoptera; Formicidae
Exons: 5
Source: RefSeq, a predicted model, not a curated record